Molecule: RNA transcript, 2460 nt
Organism: Panicum hallii
Lineage: Eukaryota; Viridiplantae; Streptophyta; Magnoliopsida; Poales; Poaceae
Gene name: putative wall-associated receptor kinase-like 16
Exons: 5
Source: RefSeq, a predicted model, not a curated record
AACAGAGAAGAAGAACGCGGAGCACUGCAGAAAUGGAGGUGCCGUGGCUGCUGUUGUGCCUGGCACUUUCCCUUUCAGUGGUGCCUCCCGCAGCGUCGCAGCGGCAGCGGCAGCCGCCGCCGGGAUGCCGGCGGCGCUGCGGCAACGUGACCGUCCCUUACCCCUUCGGCAUCGGCGCGGGCUGCCACCGCGGCUCGGCCGCGGGGGGCUUCCGGCUCCGGUGCGACGACGCCCGCCGCCCGCCGCGCCUCACCGUGUCGGGCUACGGCCACGAGGUCGCCGCCAUCUCGCUCCCCGCGGCCGAGGCCACCGUGCUCCUGAACGCCAGCCGCGCGUGCUACGACCGCCCCGGCGACCCCGGCGGGCGCGUGGUCAGCCUCCGGGAGCAACCCAUGGAGCUCAACGGCAGCGCGUUUCUCUUCUCGUCGAUGAAGAGCAAGUUCGUGUCCAUCGGCUGCCCCGGCCUCGCCUACUUCACCGACGGCGACGGGUACUACGUCACGGGGUGCAUGUCCGUGUGCCGCCCCUCCGAGCGCGCGCUGCCGGGCUCGUGCCGGGGCGACGACGGCUGCUGCCAGAGCAACAUCCCGCUCGGCCUCGCCUCCUACCGCCCGCACCUCGGGAGCUUCCGUGGCCAGGAGACGACGUUCCUGGCCAACUCCACCGCCUGCGCCUACGCGUUCAUGGUGGACGCGUGGUGGUUCUGGUUCGCCGGCUCCCACUUCAACCGCACCGGCGACUUCGCCGUGCCCGUCGUCCUGGACUGGGCCAUCAGGGACGCCCCGGGCUGCGCCGCCGCACAGCGAGAGCCUGACAAUUACGCGUGCCGGAGCGCGCACAGCGUGUGCCUCGAGUCCAGCAACGGACCUGGGUACGUCUGCAACUGCACCGACGGGUACCAGGGCAACCCCUACGUGGUCGACGGCUGCACAGAUGUCGAUGAGUGCCAGCACAGGGACGAGUUCCCUUGCUACGGCGCCUGCGUCAACACGCCGGGCAGCUUCACCUGCACAUGCCCCAAAGGAUCCAGUGGGAAUGCCACUAUCCUGGAUGGCUGCCGCCCAGACAACAAAUUCAGUUCAGCACUCAAGGCCGUCAUAGGUACAAGCUCAGGCGUGUUCUUUCUGCUGCUGGCCUGCUUCUCGGCGCACCUGUGGCUUCAGAAGAGGAGGCUGCUCCAAGCAAAGCGGCGGUUCUUCGAGCAGAACGGCGGCCUCCUCCUGCAGCAGCAGCUGGGCUCGCUGGCCAGCGCCGGCGUCGCGUUCAAGAUCUUCUCCGAGGAGGAGAUCAGCAGGGCCACCGACGGCUUCGCGGAGGCGCGGGUCCUCGGCCGCGGCGGCCACGGCGUCGUCUACAAGGGCGUCCUCGCCGACGGCUCCGCCGUGGCGGUCAAGAAGUCGAGGGUGGUCGACGCGAAGCAGGUCAAGGAGUUCGCCCGGGAGAUGCUCAUCCUCUCCCAGAUCAACCAUCGCAACGUGGUGAAGCUGCUCGGCUGCUGCCUCGAGGUCGAGGUGCCCAUGCUGGUCUACGAGUACGUCCCUAACGGCAGCCUCCACGGCCACAUCCACGGCGACGACGGCGAGAGCGAGCUUCCGCCGGGCGCGCGCUUCCGCGUCGCGGCCGAGUCCGCGGACGCGCUCGCGUACAUGCACUCGUCGGCGUCGCCGCCGGUCCUCCACCGCGACGUCAAGUCCGCCAACAUCCUCCUCGACGGCGACCUCGCGGCCAAGGUGUCCGACUUCGGCGCGUCGCGGCUGGCGCCGGCCGGCGAGGCGGCGGUGGCCACGCUGGUCCAGGGGACGCUUGGGUACCUGGACCCCGAGUACCUGCUGACCAGCCAGCUCACCAGCAAGAGCGACGUGUACAGCUUCGCGGUGGUCCUGCUGGAGCUGCUCACCGGGAGGAAGGCGUUCGUCCCGGUGGAGGAUGAGGAAGAGGAGGAGGAAGGGGGGCUCGCGUUCUUCUUCAUCACCGCAGCGCAGGCCGGACGGCACCUGGAGGUCAUGGACCGGCGGGUUAGGGAGGAGGUCGGCGUGGAGGUGCUGGACGAGGCCGCGGAGUUGGUGAUGCGGUGCCUGAGCAUGGUCGCCGAGGAGAGGCCGACCAUGAAGGAGGUCGCCGACAAACUCCAUAGUCUCAUCAGAUGAAUUAGUGAUGUGGUACACCGAAAUGGACGUGGACCGUUGGUUUAAUACCAUAUUACCCCUUAGGAGGGAUAGGGGCAGAGGGCCCAAGCGCUGCUCAGCAACCUCUGGUGGCAGGACAGAUUCCGGCUUACCUCUCCAGGCUCCAGCCGUGGAUGACGGACGGCGGCAGGCAGUAGGAGAAGCAGAAGGGGAAGAAGAACUGAAGAAGCAGAGGAGGGGAAAGCAGGGGGUGGGUGAUCUCAUCCGUUCUUCCGCGAGCAGCGAGAGGCUACCGUGCCCGUGCUGCCCCAUUUAUAGCCAGGGGAAGGGGAUC